This is a long non-coding RNA of Gorilla gorilla gorilla (western lowland gorilla), 882 nucleotides long. RefSeq lists it as uncharacterized. The transcript is spliced from 3 exons. The record is from RefSeq and is a predicted model, not a curated record. Lineage: Eukaryota; Metazoa; Chordata; Mammalia; Primates; Hominidae.
CCGACACCUUCUUCCCAGUGCGGCCCGGGCUGCGGCCCCGGGUCCGAGGAGGCCCGGGGAGACCCGGAGGAGGUCAGAAGGCCUUCAGGGCCCCCGGGAUGGGGUGAGGCUGAGCCCGGCCCCUUACUGCCGGCGCCUGCGAGGAAGGGAAGCCCCGCCCCAAUGCCUGCGCGCCCCCAUGAGGACCACUAGCCUCGUCGCCCCGCUGUGUGACUCCCGGGGGUCCCUGGCCCUCUCUGGGCCGAGCUGUAGUCAGGCUCACGGGCAGCCGCUCAGAGAGGUCGCCUGGGUCCGAUCCCUUCCCCAAAUGGCCCCCCGCCUCAGUUUCCCCGGCCAGGUGGAAACUGAGACCCAGAGAGCCGUGACUUGACUGAUCCCACAGCCAGGAAAUGGUGGAGCCUGGAUUUGAACCCCAGCUUCUAAGAAGAAGGUGCCACUGUCCUGGAAGAACUCUCAGGACAGCAUUAGUGUCUCAGGGAUCCCCCUAAUUGGAGGGGCCUUAAGGCAACCUAAUCAUGAUUGUCACUGAAGAUCCAGGAGGGCUUCCUGGAGGAGGAGGCAGCUCCAUUCUGAAAUGCCAAGGGUACAGCUUUAUUGGGACAGCCAGUGUCUCUGAAUAUGUAGGUUUUGCACAGAGCUUGCACUGCCCCAGGGCCUGUACACUGCCUGUCCCCUCUGCCUUGUGCACUCUUUCCCUAGAUGUCCAAAUGGCUCCUUUCCUCACCUACCCCAAAUCUCAAUUCCAAUGUUUCCCCAGCCUCCCCUCAUUUCAGUAAUCACUCUGCAGUGAGCUAGGAUUGCGCCACUGCACUCCAGCUUGGAUAAGAGAACAAGACCCUGUCUCUAAACUAAAUACAUAAAUAAAAAUAAUUCCCCUCUCCA